RNAcentral lists this ribosomal RNA (354 nucleotides) under uncultured fungus. Its description in RNAcentral is "SSU rRNA". It matches the Rfam family "Eukaryotic small subunit ribosomal RNA", at positions 20 to 370 of the family's 1831-position model. The record is from RNAcentral. Lineage: Eukaryota; Fungi.
GUAGUCAUAUGCUUGUCUCAAAGAUUAAGCCAUGCAUGUCUAAGUAUAAAUAAAUUUAUAUUGUGAAACUGCGAAUGGCUCAUUAAAUCAGUUAUGAUCUACGUGACAUAUUCUUUACUACUUGGAUAACCGUGGUAAUUCUAGAGCUAAUACAUGCAAAAAAACCCUGACUUCGGAAGGGGUGCACUUAUUAGAUAAAACCAACGCGGGGUAAAACCUGUCUUCUUGGUGAUUCAUAAUAAUUAAGCGGACCGCAUGGCCUUGUGCUGGCGACGGUCCACUCGAUUUUCUGCCCUAUCAUGGUUGAGAUUGUAAGAUAGAGGCUUACAAUGCCUACAACGGGUAACGGGGAAU